This 220-nucleotide ribosomal RNA is filed under the name uncultured fungus. Its description in RNAcentral is "partial small subunit ribosomal RNA". The stretch from base 103 to 220 matches the Rfam family "Eukaryotic small subunit ribosomal RNA", at positions 744 to 864 of the family's 1831-position model. Lineage: Eukaryota; Fungi. The record is from RNAcentral.
GGGUAUUGUGUGCGGUCGGCCUCAAUGAGGUGUGUACUGUGUGGCAAGAUCCAUCUUUCCAGGGGUGUCGGUGGGUGAUUAAGUUCAUCUGCGUGUAUGCCGUUGGUCGUUUACUGUGAGCAAAAUAGAGUGUUCAAAGCAGGCUUAUGCCGUUGAAUACAUUAGCAUGGAAUAAUAAGAUAGGACCUUGUUCUAUUUUGUUGGUUAAUGGAGUAAGGUA